UACGUAGGGAGCUAGCGUUGUUCGGAAUCACUGGGCGUAAAGGGAGCGUAGGUGGGAGGAUAAGUUAGAAGUUAAAUGUACGGGCUUAACCCGUAAUCUGCUUUUAAUACUGUUCUUCUUGAGUAUGGGAGAGGAUGAUGGAAUUCCAGGUGUAGCGGUGGAAUGCGUAGAUAUCUGGAAGAACACCAGUUGCGAAGGCGGUCAUCUGGCCCAAUACUGACACUGAGGCUCGAAAGCUAGGGGAGCAAACAGG
RNAcentral lists this ribosomal RNA (253 nucleotides) under uncultured bacterium. Its description in RNAcentral is "partial 16S ribosomal RNA". It matches the Rfam family "Bacterial small subunit ribosomal RNA", at positions 524 to 776 of the family's 1533-position model. The record is from RNAcentral.